AUCGCAGGGCAUCGAACCUGCGAUCAUGCUUCCGGUAUGACAUAAUUUACUCAUUUAGGUUGGAUAGUUGUUAUAAAGUUGAAAAUAAUUAGCACGACGGAGAAGUGGGAAAGAGGACGUCGACGGCGAGAAAUGCCGGAAUCAGCGUGCAUAUUUUGCGAUAUAGCUCGGUUGCCAAGCUCUACAAGCCUUCUUUACCAGGACGACAAGGUCGUCGCUUUCCAGGACAUCAAACCUGCCGCCUUCCGACAUUACUUGGUCAUCCCAAUUGAGCACAUCCCAACAGUGAAAAACCUUCAGAGAGGAUUAGAACACUAUUCUUUGGUGAGUCACAUGCUUAAUGUGGGUAAAACACUAUUGCAGCAAGAUUCCUCUCAUAAUGAGCAUAGAUUUGGUUUUCACCAACCUCCUUUUAACAGUGUUGACCAUCUUCACCUUCAUUGCCUCGCACUUCCUUAUAUGCCAAGCUGGAAAUUUAUUAAAUAUUCAUCAUUAGGGCCGCUUGGUGGAUUCAUUCUAGCAGAGAAGCUCUUGGAGAAACUUAAGCCUUGACAGUUUUCCCAAAUAUCGGUACCUUUAAUUACUGGGAAUUGAUGCUCAGCACUGUACUUAUGCACGUAUCAAAUUUCAAGGUUGUGUCAGCUGCAUGUGUUCUGAGGGUGAGGUGGUCGUUAGAGGUGUUUGUAGUUUCGUUCUUGUUCGUGCCUGUGGCUCUUUGUAAUCAAAAACUGUGUUUGAUGUUCACCAAAUGUUGUAAGAUCUUUUGCAUUUUCUUUUGCAGGCUUUUAUAGUAGCUUUGUCUGUUUCGAGAAGAAUAAUGAUUCAACUGAUCCAAGUGUUUCAGAUAUUCAAGCUUUCUAAGCAAAUAUACGGAGUUGAAGGCUUGUUUAUAGCAUUGAAAGGGAAAGGCUCUACUGAUGAUCAAAUCAGUCCGACAUGGCUGAGUUUGGGUGAUGGUAUGCAGCUUGAAUAUGUAGCUUAGCCUAGCCAGAUGCACCCCAUGUUCGUGCCAAUCAAUCGAGCUAGAAAAAUUCGACAUUGAGUCAUGCUUUAGCCAAUUAUUGGAGUGGGCUCUUGGUCAGGGUUUAAGAAUCUCUAAUGGGCUCCCGUCUUUUAUUUUAGUUUAGCUAAUAGAACAGAGGGAUUUGUAAUCUAAUAUAGUGAGAUGCCAAUAACAUGGAUGUAUAUUGGAUCAUCAUUUGUCAAUGGGUGUUCUUAAACCAGACUCUCACCCAAGUUUGUCCAUAUACUUUCCGGGUUUUAUCAGGUUUUAGUCUAAAUGGUUAUCUGGUUGAGAGUUUUGUGUUCAAAAUCCAAUAUUUCAGGAAGGGCUGUUACCUCCAUACUCGCGAUAUAAGUUGAGACUUUUUUAGCUGUU
This is an RNA transcript of Spinacia oleracea (spinach), 1378 nucleotides long. It is a transcript of the gene named bifunctional adenosine 5'-phosphosulfate phosphorylase/adenylylsulfatase HINT4, with no coding region annotated. The record is from RefSeq and is a predicted model, not a curated record. NCBI's taxonomy places the organism in Eukaryota, Viridiplantae, Streptophyta, Magnoliopsida, Caryophyllales, Amaranthaceae. The transcript has 8 exons.